This 367-nucleotide ribosomal RNA is filed under the name uncultured organism. RNAcentral describes it as "bacterial SSU rRNA". It matches the Rfam family "Bacterial small subunit ribosomal RNA", at positions 526 to 895 of the family's 1533-position model. The record is from RNAcentral.
CGAAGGGGGCGAGCGUUAUUUGGAAUCACUGGGCGUAAAGCGUGCGUAGGCUGUUCUACAAGUCAGGAGUGAAAGCCCAAGGCUUAACCUUGGAAGCGCUCUUGAAACUGUAGGACUCGAGUUCGGGAGAGGAUAGCGGAAUUCUCAGUGUAGCAGUGAAAUGCGUAGAUAUUGAGAGGAACACCAGUGGCGCAAGCGGCUAUCUGGACCGACACUGACGCUGAGGCACGAAAGCGUGGGGAUCAAACAGGAUUAGAUACCCUGGUAGUCCACGCCGUAAACGAUGUGUGUUUGUCGCCGGGGGGUCAACCUUCGGUGACGAAGCUAACGCGUUAAGCACACCGCCUGGGAGUACGGCCGCAAGGUU